Molecule: RNA transcript, 2883 nt
Organism: Abrus precatorius (Indian licorice)
Lineage: Eukaryota; Viridiplantae; Streptophyta; Magnoliopsida; Fabales; Fabaceae
Gene name: DEAD-box ATP-dependent RNA helicase 20
Exons: 11
Source: RefSeq, a predicted model, not a curated record
GGGAAAACGAGUUUUGAUUUUGACAAGAAUAUUAUUAUUAUUAUUAUUAUAUUUGUGCACAGGCACGGCGCGUGAGACGGUGGCGGUGGUGAUAUUGGGAGACGCAGCGGGGAGAAAGAACAACAGUAGAACGCGUUAAAAGCAACUUGCUCCAAAUUGCAAAUACCAUUCCAGUAGUAAAUAGCGUGGCCAUUCCACCUUGCUCCUCUUCUUAUUUUCUUCCCCAACCCAAACUGUUAUUUUUCGGAAACCCUAGUUUCCUGCAAGAUGAACCCCUACGAUAACAGAUAUUCCAACGCCACUUCUUUUCGUGACCGUCGCAGUGAUCUGAUUGGAUCUAUGCCGCCGCGGCCUGUGGUGGGGCGCGGGGGUCCGACUCCCUACGGUGUUCCUUACGGUGCCCCUGGACCCAAUUUUGGAUCCGCACCCGUUGCCCCGAUUCCACCCUUUGUGCCUCCUCCUGGGGGCUUUAACGUAGGCCGAGGCGGUGGUUUUGGUGGUAGAGUGGGCAAUGGUCACGUGAGUGAUAGAAAGCAUGACAUAGGUCGCCAUCAUGGAGGUGGUGGAAGAGGUGGCGGUGGUGGAAGAGGUCGUGGCGGUGGUAGAGCUGGAGCUCACGGUUUUAGGGCCUCGGGGAGAGGAGGUAGACAUGGUAGUGGAUCUUCUAGGGAUGAUUUGGACAACAUUGCACUCCCCAAGCAAGAUUUUAGGAAUUUGGUCCCUUUUGAGAAGAAUUUCUACGUUGAGAGCCCUUCCGUAAGGGCUAUGUCUGAUCAUGAAGUUAUGCAUUACCGUGCCAGUAGAGAUAUCACCGUGCAAGGGCAUGAUGUGCCAAAACCUGUUCGGAUGUUUCACGAUGCAAAUUUUCCUGAUUAUUGUCUUGAAGUCAUUGCCAAUUUGGGUUUUGUUGAGCCCACUCCAAUUCAGGCUCAGGGUUGGCCCAUGGCUCUAAAGGGUAGAGAUUUAAUUGGCAUUGCUGAGACUGGCUCGGGUAAAACUUUGGCAUAUCUGCUUCCUGCUUUAGUGCAUGUCAAUGCCCAACCUCGAUUAGUACAAGGUGAAGGUCCCAUUGUCUUAAUUUUAGCACCAACUAGAGAGUUAGCUGUUCAAAUUCAAGUAGAAGCUCUGAAAUUUGGGUCACGAGCUAAUAUUAGAAGUACGUGCAUCUAUGGUGGUGCACCAAAGGGGCCUCAAAUCCGUGACCUUCAAAGAGGUGUUCAGAUUGUUAUUGCUACACCUGGUCGUCUAAUAGAUAUGUUGGAAGCUCAGCACACAAACCUGCAGAGAGUGACUUACCUUGUAUUGGAUGAAGCUGAUCGAAUGUUAGACAUGGGUUUUGAACCUCAGAUACGGAAAAUUGUAGGCCAGAUUCGACCAGAUAGGCAGACGUUAUAUUGGAGUGCUACGUGGCCAAGGGAGGUUGAAACUCUUGCAAGGCAGUUUCUGCGCAACCCGUAUAAGGUAAUUAUUGGGUCACCAGAUCUGAAAGCUAAUCAAUCCAUAAAUCAAGUUGUUGAAGUUCUAACUGACAUGGAGAAAUACAAUAGAUUGAUCAGACUUCUAAAAGAAGCAAUGGAUGGGAGCCGAAUUCUAAUAUUUAUGGAGACAAAAAAGGGAUGUGACCAAGUUACUAGACAAUUGAGAAUGGAUGGAUGGCCAGCACUAUCCAUCCAUGGUGAUAAAAACCAGGCUGAAAGGGAUUGGGUCUUGGCUGAAUUUAAAAGUGGCAGAAGUCCAAUAAUGACUGCCACUGAUGUUGCUGCACGUGGUCUUGGUAGGAUCACUGUGUGUUUAGAAACCUAGGAUUUUUGGUUUAGGUCUAAAACUUUAACCAUAGGCGAGUCAGCCGGCUGCUGUCCAGUUCCCCUUGAUAUAAUUUGUGGUUUGGGUGUGUGUGGGGCCAUAUUUUCAGUAUGUUGGAACUGCCUGUAACUUGACCAAAGGAUUAAUGAGUUGCAUUCAAACUUCAAAGAUGACAUUGUUUUGCUGCAGUCACUAGACUUGCUACUGUAAAUUUGGGAACCAUCUUUUUUAGAGAUGUCAAGUUAUAUGGAUGCCCGGGGGCAGAGUUCCUUGAUAGCCUGGAUGUUGGCUAUAAUUUAUUAGGUAAUAUAUCAUGUGAUAUGCAGUAAAUUUCGUAGGUUGGUUUAAUUCGGGGCAUUUUACAUGAUUGGCAAAACAAGUUAUGGAGCUGGUCGUCUUUGCAGCCGGGUUGACUCAUACAUGCUUAGUCAAUAAUUGGAUGUGGUAGAUGGCAGUGAUGGUGAAGCUGCUCCUUAUCCCUGGAAGGUUAAGAUGUGAAAGACAUUAAAUGUGUGAUCAAUUAUGAUUUUCCAUCAAGCUUGGAAGAUUAUGUCCACAGAAUUGGCCGAACUGGUCGUGCAGGGGCUAAAGGAACUGCAUACACAUUUUUCACACAUGCCAAUGCCAAGUUUGCUAGGGAUCUGAUUAAGAUUUUACAAGAUGCCGGUCAGGCUGUGAGUCCUUCACUGUCUGCAUUGGUUCGGUCAGCUGGUUCUGGUCAAUUCGGAUCUGGAGGAAAUUUUCGCUCAAGGGGACGAGGAAGCUAUGGUAAUCGGGGUUUAAUAUCAGGAUCCAAUGCCAUCCCUCUAGGUUCCAAGAGGCCUUGGCAGUGUCUGUAGUUGAUGCUGCCUUGGGCAAUUUCUGUGAGAGGGGUUUAGGAUACAUAUGCCAGCGUUACAUUUGAAACAACACAUUCAUUGUUAACCUUCAGGACCAAAAACAAUUUUACAGUGACUAUAGUCAAGUCAUGCGUUGUAAAUGAUUGAUACGUGUAUUGAAUUAGUUGGAAUGAACCACUGGGCCUACUAAUAACAACUACUUCGUCGACCAUUCGUGUUUUGAUUAUAUUUCACCGUUAGC